Molecule: long non-coding RNA, 407 nt
Filed under: Hordeum vulgare
Lineage: Eukaryota; Viridiplantae; Streptophyta; Magnoliopsida; Poales; Poaceae
Description: long non-coding RNA (HVUL_LNC010777)
Source: RNAcentral
UCCAACAUGGGAUCCGGGGGGUGGUUUGGCCCCUACUACUACCAGGGACGUCGCGAUCAGAGGCUCUCGCAACGGCGGCAAAGACAAACAGGCUCCAUCAUCACUACUCUCCUGGAACAGAACAGAACAGAAGAGAAGAGGUCCCUGGAUCCGUGUAUCGCACUCCGGUCCGGGGUGAGGAGGGCCAUGUGCAUGCAGGCUCGCCGUAGAGUGUGGAGCGGACCACCUCCGCCGCGGGGCGCACGGCGGAUGGAUCACAUCACCCAGCGGGGAGCGGAUGGACGGACAGGGACCAUGCCGUAGGCCGUAGCGUCGCACGCUCACCAUCGACGUGUCGCCCUAAGUUUUUCCGGUGCGCCACGUGAUUAGCACCACAAGUACUACGUCCGGAAAAAGUUCAUUUGAAA